Molecule: unclassified non-coding RNA, 343 nt
Filed under: Hevea brasiliensis (rubber tree)
Lineage: Eukaryota; Viridiplantae; Streptophyta; Magnoliopsida; Malpighiales; Euphorbiaceae
Source: RNAcentral
UUUCAGGGGAAAAUAAUUAAAAAAUAUACAAUUUUUUUAAAUAAUUUUUGUGAGAAAUUAUUAAUAAGUAAAUGUGGUUUUUAAAGAAAUUUUAAAUAUAAUUUUUUAUUAUUUCUUCCCUGCCAUGUCAGUAAUAAUAUAUAAUGGCCUUAUUGCAUUUGGUUGUUAACAAUCAUUAACAGGGCAAAAUAAAAGGUACUAGCUUGUCACAACAAAACACUAACUCUUGAUAUUGAUAAAGCACUAAAACCCCCUUUUUUUUGGAUGCUUUACCCUAUAUUAUAAGCAACAUGGUCCACUAUGUACUUUGUAUACAAAUAAGGUUAUCUUUACAGUAUCAAAG